UCAAAUUCCAACGUGGGCGGGCUAGGUCUGUGUUGGCCUUUGCACCCUUAUCUACUGUCAACAUGCUUGCUUAUUCACAACAGUGCAUAUAUUCUGAUACUCACAGUCUGUUCAAGAGGUGGAUCAAAGAUUUUGAAAACGAUGGAACAACAACACAUGAUGAAGGACACUACUUCACAUGCACAAGGUGUCGAAAGAGGAGUGGGGCUUCACGCCACUGCACCACCCCACCUGGAUCAUCAGUGAGUACACACUAUAUGCAGGAAAGUGGCCAAGUUACUCCUUGUUUGCUUUCAAAAUAGCAGGAAUUUAUCCAGGAUUCCUAACUAAAUGCCCUUGGCAGAGAAUUUGGGGGAAAAUCUGUUUUUUUGCAGAACUUAGUCAAUGACCCCAGAGACCAUAAAAUAGAUAUCUGGUGAGCCCUACAAAGCCAUAACAUUAGUUAUUACCAUAUAACAUGAAUUGAGAAAUUUGUAAUUCCAGUUUGUGAAUUUUGACUGACAUUUGCUGCAGACUUGCUGCCACAUACUGGCCUCUGAGCAGGUCUAGAUGAACCCUGCAUAGUCUGGUGUUGGAAGACAUGCCAAGUGAUGUUGAUACAGUGUAUAAACUGCCUGCUAACAGUGCAUUGUUCCUUGUGAUUUGGAUAUGUGCCAUGCAUAAAAAGUUGAACAAUGUAGCAUUAUGUACAGCACAAACAGGACAUACUGUUAGUAUACUCAUGGUACUUAGGCAAAUGAUAUCCUUGUAUUGGUGUACAAAUAUAGUAAGGAAUAUUAGCUAUCGGAAUAUAUACUAUUAUAUGGCCUUGAAAAAUGUUGUAUCUCUGUUUACCUAACAAAUACAUUUUGUGUGCCUACCCUGACAAUCAUAUUGACUUUCUUGUCAAGAGUCAGUGUGUGGGUCUAUGUCUGUGUGUGUGUGUGUGUGUGUGUGUGUGUGUGUGCAUGUGUGUGUGCACUGUUAUUCAUGGCAUUUUUUUAUUAAUGUUGUAGCCUUAUAUCAUGCUAUCCGACACCAGGAACAGGAUUCAGAAAGAAAAUCCAGGUAAGGGAGAUAACUUGGGUGAUCUGCACGUGAUCCGCUAUUGUGAUCUUAUGGGACAUGUGACAUGCAACACAUUAGGGGCAGCCAAGGAACAGAUGCAUAUUAGAAGUCAACUGAAAUAACAUUUUAAGCAGAAAUAUUUUUGAAAGGUCUAGAAUAUGAACACUGUUAGUGAUGCUUCAACUAACCUAUAAACAAAUUAAAGUUAACCAAUUGUGGUGCUAUACAUAUUGUCAGAUUUUCUGUUUUAUCAUGGUUACAGGCCUUGAACUUUCUGAGAAAUAUACCUUCCACUCUUUAAACCAAAGAAAACAUGAUUUUUAUCCCACGAAUACAGCUCAUGUUUUAGUGUCACACAUCCCAAGUUUCAGGUUUAUCCCUCCAGCUGUUGAGGUGAGAAAUUACAGGUCAACAGAUGGAUGGACUUGAUACAUGAGCUGUCUUGGACCUUCAACAUGUUCAAUCCUGGUGAUCUAGAAAAGAUCGGGCUGGGUUUCUUCAUAAAGUAAGAUGACCGAACCCUAACAGGGCCUCUGAAGUUAUGCCAGAAUAACAAUAUAACUGCUGUGUUCUGUCAGUAACUUACCCGACGCAUUGAGCUUGCCGCCUUCGAACCAUUGUAUUUUUCCAUCUGUCAU
RNAcentral lists this long non-coding RNA (1685 nucleotides) under Haliotis rufescens (red abalone). RNAcentral describes it as "uncharacterized LOC124146438, transcript variant X1". Lineage: Eukaryota; Metazoa; Mollusca; Gastropoda; Lepetellida; Haliotidae. The record is from RNAcentral.